AGAGUUUGAUCCUGGCUCAGAUUGAACGCUGGCGGCAGGCCUAACACAUGCAAGUCGAACGGUAGCACAGAGGAGCUUGCUCCUUGGGUGACGAGUGGCGGACGGGUGAGUAAUGUCUGGGAAACUGCCCGAUGGAGGGGGAUAACUACUGGAAACGGUAGCUAAUACCGCAUAACGUCGCAAGACCAAAGAGGGGGACCUUCGGGCCUCUUGCCAUCGGAUGUGCCCAGAUGGGAUUAGCUAGUAGGUGGGGUAACGGCUCACCUAGGCGACGAUCCCUAGCUGGUCUGAGGGGAUGACCAGCCACACUGGAACUGAGACACGGUCCAGACUCCUACGGGAGGCAGCAGUGGGGAAUAUUGCACAAUGGGCGCAAGCCUGAUGCAGCCAUGCCGCGUGUAUGAAGAAGGCCUUCGGGUUGUAAAGUACUUUCAGCGAGGAGGAAGGCGUUGUGGUUAAUAACCGCAGCGAUUGACGUUACUCGCAGAAGAAGCACCGGCUAACUCCGUGCCAGCAGCCGCGGUAAAAGGG
RNAcentral lists this ribosomal RNA (531 nucleotides) under uncultured Enterobacterales bacterium. RNAcentral describes it as "bacterial SSU rRNA". It matches the Rfam family "Bacterial small subunit ribosomal RNA", at positions 8 to 528 of the family's 1533-position model. Lineage: Bacteria; Pseudomonadati; Pseudomonadota; Gammaproteobacteria; Enterobacterales. The record is from RNAcentral.